AUGGUAUCAAAGAGCUUGGUUAAUCCACUAACAAUUUGUUGAAGAUAAAUAAAAGUGAUGCUGCUCAAGACUAAAGCUGCGACCCGUAGCUACAGAUUUGAGCUAUAAACUGCGUUUCUCGACACAGUGCUGCUUUCUUCUCUGAAUUUGCAAGCAAAUGAUGACGCGUAAUAGAGUUGGUUAUGCUAAUAACUAGAAGUGGGAGUUUUUAAAGCGAUUGUAACCAUGAAUUUCAUGAUGUGCUAGGAUUGCACAGUGAGAGAACUUGAAAUAUUGUGCCAGUUGUAAUUGGUAUUUAUUGUUGGCUAUUUCUAUUUGGUUUCUUGAAUUGAAGUCGAUGCCAAUUU
RNAcentral lists this long non-coding RNA (347 nucleotides) under Trifolium pratense (red clover). Its description in RNAcentral is "long non-coding RNA (TPRA_LNC005423)". Lineage: Eukaryota; Viridiplantae; Streptophyta; Magnoliopsida; Fabales; Fabaceae. The record is from RNAcentral.